Molecule: ribosomal RNA, 201 nt
Filed under: uncultured bacterium
Lineage: Bacteria
Description: partial 16S ribosomal RNA
Rfam family: Bacterial small subunit ribosomal RNA
Source: RNAcentral
UACGUAGGGUGCGAGCGUUGUCCGGAAUUAUUGGGCGUAAAGAGCUUGUAGGCGGUUUGUCGCGUCUGCUGUGAAAAUCCGGGGCUCAACCCCGGACUUGCAGUGGGUACGGGCAGACUAGAGUGUGGUAGGGGAGACUGGAAUUCCUGGUGUAGCGGUGAAAUGCGCAGAUAUCAGGAGGAACACCGAUGGCGAAGGCAG